RNAcentral lists this long non-coding RNA (1329 nucleotides) under Prunus persica (peach). RNAcentral describes it as "long non-coding RNA (PPER_LNC004976)". Lineage: Eukaryota; Viridiplantae; Streptophyta; Magnoliopsida; Rosales; Rosaceae. The record is from RNAcentral.
AAACACUCUUCCAAGCCAUUCAAGUCCAACUCCAAGCGUUUUAUGUGUUUUUUGGUCGAAGAUUCCAAGUAAUAAUCUACUACCACCCAACAUUUUUCCAAACCUUAGCCGCAACAUUCAGUUUCCUUCCUCUCUCAUUUUCUGUGUUCAUUGCUCAUUGCUCUUCAGGCAUCGCUCGUCGCUCAUCGCUCAUCGCUCAUCACUCAUCGCCAUCGCUCUUUGCAGUCUCUCACCCCAACGCCACCGCGUCUGCCUCUCUCUCCUCUCAAUCCAAAGCAGGUCAUCGUCUCUUUCUCUCUCUAGUCCCUUAUACAGAUCUGUAUUUGUUUCUCUCAACGAUCUGUGUUUCUUUUGAUGCUUUUAUUUCACUUUUGAUUUCAUCUAUUUGUUCUCAUAUGGGUAUUGAUAGUUUCUGUGAUUUUGUGCUGAUGCUUUUACAGAGAUCUGAUUCUUUUUUCUUUUUUUUCUUUUGAUUUUUUCCUGUUUUGUUUUGACAGACGUGUGUUCUCUAUGUCAAAUAUCAUUCCUUAGUGGCAUCUAAAUCUUCGAAAGUUGUUGUAAACUUUAGGCUGGAGUUCAUUCAUUCAUUAUUAUUCAGGAAAAGAAAAUGAAGUUACAACAAUUGACAAUAUGUUGCUCUUUGAAACAGGUACUGAAGCCGCAUGGAUAAAAAGGAAUGAUUAAUAUUUUUUAUUUUGUCAUAAAGUAAUACUAGCCUCUCUGCACGCGCUUCCGCGCUUGCGAGAGGUUUUUUUUAAAAAAUAAGUAAAUUUAUUUUAGAAUUAAAAAAGAUAAUGGAUAGUUGUGUUCCAUAAAAAUAGGAUCCAUUAUCUGCCUUUUCUUUUUCUUUUAAUUUUUUUAAAUAUGAAAAAGUGUGAAUUUACCAUAUUAUCCUCAUUUAAUUAAUAAUUUGAAUUCUUAAUGUUUGCAUUAACCAAGGACAUUUUCUGGUAUUUUGAAUGUUUCACCAUUCUCUGCCUUUUGCUUUAUAUAUAUAGAUUAAUGCUUUGACGUAUUCUUUCAAUUUGCAAUGCAUGGAUAUGAAUUGGGCCAAUCGUGAAUAAUCAAGCCCAAAAUUUUUAAAAUUCAAUUGGGCUGAAGCUUAAAAGAAAAAAUUUAAAAACAUAAAAAAUGCAAUUGAGCUGAAGAGUGGGCUCAAACCGUAAUAACCGGAACCUAAUUGGACCUAAAUCGGUUUGUAUUGGUUUGGUUUUCUCAGGUGGUUUAAUCAAAAUAAGAACCAGACCGGACUGGAUGAACAAUAUCGAUUCAGGUUUCGAGUUAAGGUCAGAAUUGGGCCAAACUGGACCAUGCCCAGCCCUCGUCCCA